AUUAGAAUGGCAGAUCAGUGCAUAGGGUUUAAGCUUCUAUUAGGAAAUAUUGAUUAUUUCUUCUAAUA
RNAcentral lists this transfer RNA (68 nucleotides) under Rondeletiola minor. RNAcentral's name for it is "tRNA-Leu". The record is from RNAcentral. Lineage: Eukaryota; Metazoa; Mollusca; Cephalopoda; Sepiida; Sepiolidae.